GAUGAAGAACGCAGCGAACUGCGAUAAGUAAUGUGAAUUGCAGAAUUCAGUGAAUCAUCGAGUCUUUGAACGCUCAUUGCGCCCCCUGGCAUUCCGGGGGGCAUGCCUGUCCGAGCGUCAUUGCUGCCCUUCAAGCCCGGCUUGUGUGUUGGGUCGUCGUCCCCCCCGGGGGACGGGCCCGAAAGGCAGCGGCGGCACCGCGUCCGGUCCUCGAGCGUAUGGGGCUUUGUCACCCGCUCGAUUAGGGCCGGCCGGGCGCCAGCCGGCGUCUCCAACCUUCUAUUUUACCAGGUUGACCUCGGAUCAGGUAGGGAUACCCGCUGAACUUAAGCAUAUCAAUAAGCGGAGGA
Molecule: unclassified non-coding RNA, 350 nt
Filed under: soil metagenome
Description: partial contains 5.8S ribosomal RNA, internal transcribed spacer 2, and large subunit ribosomal RNA
Rfam family: 5.8S ribosomal RNA (bases 1-120)
Source: RNAcentral